AUCCAUUCACGGUUACUUGCAAGGAUGAGAUCUGAUAGUGAUUGAUAUAAAAGAUAAGUAAAAGUGUGAAAUAACAUAAAAGUAAAUAAAUUGUAGCCAGGUAUUUUUGUGUUUUUGAUUUUAUAGAUCUGAAAAUAAUAUGAUAAAAGAUAGACCCGGGGGCCAUAGUUUCCACUAGAGGCUUCUCUCUUGAAAGAAAGCAUACGGUGGGUAAAUAAAUUAAUGUUGAGCAAUUUAUAGAAAAGCGCAUAGUUAUGAUGAUAUCUAAGGUGAUGAUCAUGUAUAUAGGCAUCACGUCCGUGGCAAAUAGACUGACUCCUGCCUGCAUCUACUACUAUUACUCCACACAUUGACCGCUAUCGAGCAUGCAUCUAGUGUAGUAAGUUAACAAGAACGGAGGAACGCCUUAAGCAAGAUGACAUGAUGUAGAGGGAUAGAUCCAGAAAAUAUGAACAAACCCCAUCUUUUUAUCCUUGAUGGCAACAAUACAAAUACGUAUCAUGUCCCUUUUGUCAAUGGGAAUGAGCACCGCCAGAUUGAAUCUAUUACAAAGCACCUCUCCCAUUGCAAGAUAAAUCAAUCUAGUUGGCCAAACCAAAUCAAUUGAUCGGAGUGAAAUGCAAAGCUAUAUAAAUGAUGCAUAAAAGAGUUCAGAGAAGACUCAAAUAAUAUUCAUAGAUAAUGUGAUCAUAAACCCACAAUUCAUUCGAUCUCAACAAACGCACCGCAAAAGAAGAUUACAUUGAAUAGAUCUCCAAGAACAUCGAGGAGAACAUUGUAUUGAAGAUCAAAGAGGGAGAAGAAGCCAUCUAGAUACUAGCUAUGGACCCGUAGGUCUGUGGUAAACUACUCACACAUCAUUGGAAUGGCAGCAAGGUUGAUGUAGAAGCUCUCCGUGCUCGAAUCCCCCUCCGAUGGAGUAUCGAGAAAGGUCCCCAUAUGUGAUCUCACGAAGACAGAAACUUGCAGCGAAGGAAAGGUAUUUUCGGUGUGACCUCUGGUCUACGGGAAUAUUUGGGUAUUUAUAGAAGAAAAAUUAGGGUUGGAUGUGCCACGGGGGGCCCACAAGCUUGAUGGUGCCCCCUCCCCCCCAGGGCACUCCCUCCGAGCUUGUGGCCAUCCCGUAGCCCUUCUGGACUCCUCCCGAAGCUUCUAGGGUGUCUUGUGGUCCUAGAAAUAUCAUCAAAAAAUUCAUUCUGUAUGGACUCCGUUUGGUAUUGAUUUUAUGUAAAGACAAAAACAAGGAUACACAACACCUAGCACUGGGCACUAGGUUAAUAGGUUAGUCCCAAAAAAUGGUAUAAAAUAGCAUAAUGAUGCAUGUAAAACAUCCAAGAUUGAUAAUAUAGUAGCAUGGAACAAUCAAAAAUUAUAGACACGUUGGAGACAUAUCAGUUGUUCAGUUUCUAACUCCCAAGUAAAGUAUACAUCAGGAAUGUAUCUACCCUCAAAUGGCGAAAUAUUCAAUGUUAGUUUAGGGAGAUGGUCAUGAUCUCAUACCUGAGGGGGUAGUGCAGCCCUACCAUUGCAAUUGUAUGCAUGUGGAUGACCUCGUGCUAGUUCUGGUGGUCAUCCUUGUAUUCAUUGUACUCCUUAAUAGUAGCAGUAGGAGUCGUAGAAGCAUCAUAGCAGUUGCAGCAGCACCAGGAUGUUGGCCUUGCUCAAGGGGAACAUGCUUCGCUUAUCCUACUUUAUCGGAGCAACGUAGAGGUGGUGGUGGUUGUUGUUGUUGUUGUUGCAAUGGUGCGACAGCUACAGCCCGUGGUGAUUAUGGGAGACGCACGAUCAUUUCGUUGAACUUGUCAUCUAGCUUUGUUUCGAACAUCUUCUCAUUGCCACCUAUCUUCUCCGUGGCCUCUUCAAAUAUGUUCAGCACAUCUUGCACCUGUCCACUCAUCAUUUGCUGAAAUUUGUCAUGUAACGCCUUGUUCAUCAUGUUCUCCAAUCAGUCUCGUCGGCUUGUGCUCCUAUCAUGGUUAGCAGUAAUAGAAACACACAAUAAUAUGAUCCUACACACUACUAGGAAGUGGUGGUGGUGGUGCGGUGGAUAGUCACAAAUCUGUCAAGCAAAACCCAAAUUCCGACCAGUCCUUACCAAGCAGCAGGCGGUGAUCGGCAACCGUUGUAGUCAAAACUCUCAAAGCUUGGAUAGAGCGAUUGCUAGGUGGUGUCAAACGCACGAUGUAAAUGUAUGUGCAGUCGGGAAGGCUUAAUAUGGUAGCAAAAAGGGUCAGCAAUAUUCAAUUCAUAGGUGCAAAGUUGAAUAAAUGCUCAACAACGGUACUAUGCUGGUCCUAAGCUAGACCGUGCUAGCGACGCGAGCCUAGAACACUAACAAAAUCACGACACUGCACGUAAACAAGGGAGGAGCACAAUUUGAAUCUCUUUUUUUUUGCUCAUUUUUUCACUUUUUUGUCUCUCUUUUUUGCUCCGCAACCAAUUUUUUUUGAAAAAGUCUACAAAUGAUCUAAAAACUUCCCAGCCAGAAUUUCCAGACUUAAUUUAAAAAAAACUAGAACUAUUUUUCUUGAAAAGGUGGCAUGGAAGAUAGGGAGUCUGACUUGGUCACGACAUGUAGUAUGGCGUGAUCUGGAAAUCAAUAGCAGAUAAGCAAAUACUAGACUCGGACUAGGAUUGGUGGCGGAGAUGAAUUUGGUGGAACUCGGAAGGGGAUAUAUAGGGGUGAUGGAACAUGGUCUUGUGUUGAAUCUGUGAUGGAGGUGGACACAAAUUGGCGUGAUGGUGAUGAAUAUGUAUGGGAGGUGUACUCUAAUUAGCGACAUGGCGGUGAAUAUGUGGUGGUGAAUACGGACUCGUAUUGGUGCGGAAUUUGUGAUGGUGGUAUAUGGCAUCGGUGAUGACGAUGGUGCGGCGGCGGCAAUAACGAUGGUGCGGCGGUUGUCGGGGUCCUGGGACCGGGGGUACCCAGGCCCGUCUGCCUGUGGCCCAUUGCGCGGCAUCGUCAAAAGGCCCGGCACGGCCCAUCGCCAAGACUUCACGUGCAAGACCCUCACGAGGCCCCCCGCCUCUCGAGGCGGACUACAUAAAGGCUUCUCGAGGUGCCUCCUGAGGGGCGGACACUUCCAGGACAGCCACCCCACCUUGCGAUGCACGUGGGUGAUGCGAGCCACGACGACUGGAGCCAGGAGAGCGCCAACGGACGCAGUCGAGGAAAGUUUCCUCUUUGGUGCUAGAGGGACAAUGCCAGCACGCGGGUUCCCAAGGAAUCCCCCGGGCUUACCUCUUCGGUGCAACAAGACCAAGACCACGGGCUUGGCAGGACGGAGGUCAUCACUGAGCCCACCAGCGCGUCACGACCAGAUGCUUUGCAGAUGAAGACCACCUUUAGUCAGGAUCGGGCGUACUCCUGUUCCCCUUCAAAUUAGCCGUAGUGGUAUCCCUUCCCGCACUAAGCCUUGGGGUAAGAGGAUCAGGGACAAUAUAAAUAUAGGCUAGUCUCCACCAUAGAGAGCAGAACUGGAUCGACUCCAUUCACCCCCCUGAGCCCUCACAAGGAAGCUCACACUUGUACAAGUUAUACUCAUCAUCCUCGCAAGGCAGUCCACCACAAAGCAGGAGUAGGGUUUUACACCGCAAGGUGGCCCGAACCUGGGUAAAUCACCCUGUCCUCACUCCUUCAAUCUCGCUUGAUCAUGAUGGAGCAUCGCCGUAAGGCAGUGUGAGGCGUGUUGUAGUCGAGUGAAGUUCUUCACGCACACCCUAGAGUUAAAACCUUUCUUUGGGUCUACGGAGCCCCAGUUCCGACAUCUGGGGCGCCAGGUAGGGGUGUGUCGAAGUUCCUUCGCUCGUUUCUGCUUUCGCUUUGCCGUUCCUAGGGCCAACGCUCGUCAUGUUUGUGCCGAGCGUCGUGCGGCUUGCGUCGCCUAGACUACACCGGCGGGCCAGCGCCGCCACUGACCCUGCUGUGCAUGAGCAGCUGGACUCUUCUCUGCCGCCCUCUGUGCAGUGCGACGCCGCACUGCCACCCCUUCUCUCACUCCAGCCACAGCUCCGUCCUCCCACGCUCGCCGCAGGGUAGAGAAUACGCAUGAUCGCUACUCAUGGUGCGCGAGCAAUUGCGCUAUUGCUCCGCCAAUCAAGGCUACAAUGCCUGGCUGGGCUGCAUCGCUGAGCUCAUUAACGCCGCAGGCCAGGCCCCAGCGCCCUCCCAAUCGCUCCGUCCACCGCCUUGUCAUCCCAUCGACGUGGCGCAUGGCUCACCACCGCCCCCCUCCUUUGCGCGGCGACAACACCAAGCCCUGGCGUGAGGCGCACCCGCGCGAGCCUCCACAUGGGGCGCCGGCCCCGGCACAGGGCACGGCCAGCUGCCAGGGUGUGCAGCAACCACUUCACGACGCGUGUGCGCUUUCCACGCCGUCGCGUCAUCACCAAGAUCGGGCCAUUCAAGAAGCUGCGGCACACGGGCGCCAGGACCGCGCCCAUCCCGCGCGAGCCAUGCCCGUGAGCGCCGCCGGCUGCCGCGCCUUCACCAGUGAGCUGUGUCGGGUGGUCUGGCCGGUCAAGUUCAAGCGGAGCUGCCACCAUGCUACGACGGCAUCCCAGACCCUACAGAGUUCCACCAACUCUAUGCGUUGAGCAUUUAAGCGGCGAACAGCGAUGACAAGAUCAAAGUCUCCUCAUCAUAGUCACUAGCGGACUCAUACCCACAAUCCUCAGUAACAAGCAUCACAUGCUUGGAUGGGCAUUCUCUCACAUAGUGACCUCCACCCUUGCAACGAUGACGUAGAACAUCAUGUGUUUGCCCUGUAGCUGCCAUGGAUGAAGAAGACCUUUGUGCAGGACCGGAAGGUGUGCUCUUGGCAGAUGGUGGUGGUGGUGCUUGUUUUCUUGUAUCACGGUUGGAGUUGGUGGCUAAAGUAGGCGGUGCUACAGCAGGACGUGUGGAAGUAGUGGAUGUAUGUGGUUUCCAUGAUGAUGACCGCCCUGCAGAAUAAUUAGUUUGCACCAAUGUCUGUCGAUCCUGCACUUCACAUUCAUCUUUGCAAGCAAGAUGGAAUAAACGAGUGAUGUUGUUAUAAUCCUUAUAUCUAAACUGGUUUGAAACACUCCAAUGAGCCCAUCCAUAAAACGUGCAAGGAUAGCUUCGUUAUCCUCAACAAAAACACAUCUAAUCAGUCCAGUUAGUAAUUCCUGAUAAUAUUCCUCUAUAGAGAUUUUCCCUUGUCUUAACCGCUCCAAUUUUGAAGUAAUUCACGUUGAUAACAUGGUGGAAACCAACGAGUACGCAUAGCAUUUUUUAAAGGAGCCUAAGUAUUAGGGAUAUUAUCAUGAUAUAAUCUACAAUGUUCAGACCACCAGACCCAAGUAAAACUAGUGAAUGCACAAACAACAACAGCAACACAUCAAUCCUCGGGAUAUUGUAAGCAUGUAAAAUAUUGUUGCUACUUAUUGAGCUUGCAUUGGUUUUUCCCUUGAAGAGGAAAGAGUGAUGCAACAAAGUAGAGAUAAGUAUUUCCCUCAGUUGAGAACCAAGGUAUCAAUCCAGUAGGAGGAACACACAAGUCUCCAAUAAUUGCACCUACACAAACAAACAAAUACUUGCACCCAAUGCGGUAAAGGGGUUGUCAAUCCCUUCACGGUACUUGCAAGGAUGAGAUCUGAUAGUGAUAGAUAUAAAAGAUAAGUAAAAGUGUGAAAUAACAUAAAAGUAAAUAAAUUAUAGCAAGGUAUUUUUGUGAUUUUGAUUUUAUAGAUCUGAAAAUAAUAUGAUAAAAGAUAGACCCGGGGGCCAUAGUUUCCACUAGAGGCUUCUCUCUUGAAAGAAAGCAUACUGUGGGUAAAUAAAUUACUGUUGAGAAAUUUAUAGAAAAGGGCAUAGUUAUGAUGAUAUCUAAGGCGAUGAUCAUGUAUAUAGGCAUCACGUCCGUGACAAAUAGACUGACUCAUGCAUGCAUCUACUACUAUUACUCCACACAUUGACCGCUAUCCAGCUUGCAUCUAGUGUAUUAAGUUAACAAGAACGGAGGAACGCCUUAAGCAAGAUGACAUGAUGUAGAGGGAUAGAUCCAAACAAUAUGAACAAACCCCAUCUUUUUAUCCUUGAUGGCAACAAUGCAAAUAAGUGUCGUGUCCCUUUUGUCAAUGGGAGUGAGCACUACAAGAUUUAACCCAUUACAAAGCACCUCUCCCAUUGCAAGAUAAAUCAAUCUAGUUGGCCAAACCAAAUCAAUUGAUCGGAGUGAA
This 6204-nucleotide long non-coding RNA is filed under the name Triticum aestivum (bread wheat). Its description in RNAcentral is "long non-coding RNA (TAES_LNC024011)". The record is from RNAcentral. Lineage: Eukaryota; Viridiplantae; Streptophyta; Magnoliopsida; Poales; Poaceae.